This 467-nucleotide ribosomal RNA is filed under the name uncultured bacterium. RNAcentral's name for it is "partial 16S ribosomal RNA". It matches the Rfam family "Bacterial small subunit ribosomal RNA", at positions 29 to 507 of the family's 1533-position model. The record is from RNAcentral.
ACGAACGCUGGCGGCGUGCUUAACACAUGCAAGUCGAACGGAAAGGCCCUGCUUUUGUGGGGUGCUCGAGUGGCGAACGGGUGAGUAACACGUGAGUAACCUGCCCUUGACUUUGGGAUAACUUCAGGAAACUGGGGCUAAUACCGGAUAGGAGCUCCUGCUGCAUGGUGGGGGUUGGAAAGUUUCGGCGGUUGGGGAUGGACUCGCGGCUUAUCAGCUUGUUGGUGGGGUAGUGGCUUACCAAGGCUUUGACGGGUAGCCGGCCUGAGAGGGUGACCGACCACAUUGGGACUGAGAUACGGCCCAGACUCCUACGGGAGGCAGCAGUGGGGAAUAUUGCACAAUGGGCGGAAGCCUGAUGCAGCAACGCCGCGUGCGGGAUGACGGCCUUCGGGUUGUAAACCGCUUUCGCCUGUGACGAAGCGUGAGUGACGGUAAUGGGUAAAGAAGCACCGGCUAACUACGUG